CUCGCGGCCUAUCAGCUUGUUGGUGAGGUAAUGGCUCACCAAGGCGUCGACGGGUAGCCGGCCUGAGAGGGUGACCGGCCACACUGGGACUGAGACACGGCCCAGACUCCUACGGGAGGCAGCAGUGGGGAAUAUUGCACAAUGGGCGCAAGCCUGAUGCAGCAACGCCGCGUGAGGGAUGACGGCCUUCGGGUUGUAAACCUCUUUUAGCAGGGAAGAAGCGAAAGUGACGGUACCUGCAGAAAAAGCGCCGGCUAACUACGUGCCAGCAGCCGCGGUAAUACGUAGGGCGCAAGCGUUAUCCGGAAUUAUUGGGCGUAAAGAGCUCGUAGGCGGUUUGUCGCGUCUGCUGUGAAAUCCGGAGGCUCAACCUCCGGCCUGCAGUGGGUACGGGCAGACUAGAGUGCGGUAGGGGAGAUUGGAAUUCCUGGUGUAGCGGUGGAAUGCGCAGAUAUCAGGAGGAACACCGAUGGCGAAGGCAGAUCUCUGGGCCGUAACUGACGCUGAGGAGCGAAAGGGUGGGGAGCAAACAGGCUUAGAUACCCUGGUAGUCCACCCCGUAAACGUUGGGAACUAGUUGUGGGGUCCAUUCCACGGAUUCCGUGACGCAGCUAACGCA
RNAcentral lists this ribosomal RNA (619 nucleotides) under Microbacterium sp. RNAcentral describes it as "bacterial SSU rRNA". It matches the Rfam family "Bacterial small subunit ribosomal RNA", at positions 230 to 859 of the family's 1533-position model. Lineage: Bacteria; Bacillati; Actinomycetota; Actinomycetes; Micrococcales; Microbacteriaceae. The record is from RNAcentral.